AUCCGGCUGAUGAGUCCCAAAUAGAAUGAAACGCACGUCUUGGAU
Molecule: non-coding RNA, 45 nt
Filed under: Schistosoma margrebowiei
Lineage: Eukaryota; Metazoa; Platyhelminthes; Trematoda; Strigeidida; Schistosomatidae
Source: RNAcentral